UACGGAGGGGGCAAGCGUUAUUCGGAAUCAUUGGGCGUAAAGGGCGCGUAGGCGGCCUUGCAAGUCAAAGGUGAAAUCCCUCGGCCUAACCGAGGAACUGCCUUUGAUACUGCAUGGCUCGAGGCCGGGAGAGGGUAGCGGAAUUCCCAGUGUAGCGGUGAAAUGCGUAGAUAUUGGGAGGAACACCAGUGGCGAAGGCGGCUAGCUGGACCGGUUCUGACGCUGAUGCGCGAAAGCGUGGGGAGCAAACAGG
Molecule: ribosomal RNA, 253 nt
Filed under: uncultured bacterium
Lineage: Bacteria
Description: partial 16S ribosomal RNA
Rfam family: Bacterial small subunit ribosomal RNA
Source: RNAcentral